UGGGGAAUAUUGCACAAUGGGGGAAACCCUGAUGCAGCGACGCCGCGUGAGCGAAGAAGGUUUUCGAAUCGUAAAUCCCUGUCCUAUGAGAAGAUAAUGACGGUAUCAUAGGAGGAAGCCCCGGCUAAAUACGUGCCAGCAGCCGCGGUAAUACGUAUGGGGCGAGCGUUGGUCGGAAUUAUUGGGCGUAAAGGGUACGUAGGCGGGCGAUUAAGUUAGGUGUGAAAGCGUGAGGCUUAACCUCAUUAAGCACUUGAAACUGAUAGACUUGAGUGAAGGAGAGGAAAGUGGAAUUCCCAGUGUAGCGGUGAAAUGCGUAGAUAUUGGGAGAAACACCAGUAGCGAAGACGGCUUUCUGGACUGCAACUGACACUGAGGCACGAAAGCGUGGGUAGCAAACAGG
RNAcentral lists this ribosomal RNA (403 nucleotides) under Verrucomicrobiota bacterium. Its description in RNAcentral is "Verrucomicrobia bacterium partial 16S ribosomal RNA". It matches the Rfam family "Bacterial small subunit ribosomal RNA", at positions 355 to 776 of the family's 1533-position model. The record is from RNAcentral. Lineage: Bacteria; Pseudomonadati; Verrucomicrobiota.